RNAcentral lists this ribosomal RNA (852 nucleotides) under uncultured bacterium. RNAcentral's name for it is "bacterial SSU rRNA". It matches the Rfam family "Bacterial small subunit ribosomal RNA", at positions 25 to 874 of the family's 1533-position model. The record is from RNAcentral.
AUCAUUGAACGCUGGCGGCAUGCUUACACAUGCAAGUCGAACGGCAGCACGGGAGCAAUCUGGUGGCGAGUGGCGAACGGGUGAGUAAUGUAUCGGAGCGUACCUUUCAGUGGGGGAUAACGUAGCGAAAGUUACGCUAAUACCGCAUAUUCUGUGAGCAGGAAAGCAGGGGAUCGCAAGACCUUGCGCUGAUUGAGCGGCCGAUAUCAGAUUAGCUAGUUGGUGAGGUAAAGGCUCACCAAGGCGACGAUCUGUAGCGGGUCUGAGAGGAUGAUCCGCCACACUGGAACUGAGACACGGUCCAGACUCCUACGGGAGGCAGCAGUGGGGAAUUUUGGACAAUGGGGGCAACCCUGAUCCAGCCAUGCCGCGUGAGUGAAGAAGGCCUUCGGGUUGUAAAGCUCUUUCAGCCGGGAAGAAAUCACAUGGGUUAAUACCCUGUGUGGAUGACGGUACCGGAAUAAGAAGCACCGGCUAACUACGUGCCAGCAGCCGCGGUAAUACGUAGGGUGCGAGCGUUAAUCGGAAUUACUGGGCGUAAAGCGUGCGCAGGCGGUUUGUUAAGAUAGGCGUGAAAUCCCCGGGCUCAACCUGGGAACUGCGUUUAUGACUGGCAGGCUAGAGUAUGGCAGAGGGGGGUGGAAUUCCACGUGUAGCAGUGAAAUGUGUAGAGAUGUGGAGGAACACCGAUGGCGAAGGCAGCCCCCUGGGCCAAUACUGACGCUCAUGCACGAAAGCGUGGGUAGCAAACAGGAUUAGAUACCCUGGUAGUCCACGCCCUAAACGAUGUCAACUAGGUGUUGGGUGGGUAAAACCAUUUAGUACCGGAGCUAACGCGUGAAGUGACCGCCU